Molecule: ribosomal RNA, 496 nt
Filed under: uncultured bacterium
Lineage: Bacteria
Description: partial 16S ribosomal RNA
Rfam family: Bacterial small subunit ribosomal RNA
Source: RNAcentral
AUGCACGCUGGCGGCGUGCCUCAUCCAUGCCAGUCGAGCGAACGGACGAGAAGCUUGCUUCUCUGAUGUUAGCGGCGGACGGGUGAGUAACACGUGGAUAACCUACCUAUAAGACUGGGAUAACUUCGGGAAACCGGAGCUAAUACCGGAUGAUAUUUUGAACCGCAUGGUUCAAAAGUGAAAGACGGUCUUGCUGUCACUUAUAGAUGGAUCCGCGCUGCAUUAGCUAGUUGGUAAGGUAACGGCUUACCAAGGCAACGAUGCAUAGCCGACCUGAGAGGGUGAUCGGCCACACUGGAACUGAGACACGGUCCAGACUCCUACGGGAGGCAGCAGUAGGGAAUCUUCCGCAAUGGGCGAAAGCCUGACGGAGCAACGCCGCGUGAGUGAUGAAGGUCUUCGGAUCGUAAAACUCUGUUAUUAGGGAAGAACAUAUGUGUAAGUAACUGUGCACAUCUUGACGGUACCUAAUCAGAAAGCCACGGCUAACUACGUG